This 74-nucleotide transfer RNA is filed under the name Nesiarchus nasutus (black gemfish). RNAcentral's name for it is "tRNA-Thr". It matches the Rfam family "tRNA". From Rfam's summary of the family: Transfer RNA (tRNA) molecules are approximately 80 nucleotides in length. Their secondary structure includes four short double-helical elements and three loops (D, anti-codon, and T loops). The record is from RNAcentral. Lineage: Eukaryota; Metazoa; Chordata; Actinopteri; Scombriformes; Gempylidae.
GCAUUUGAAGCUCAGUACACGUAGCACCGACCUUGUAAGCCGGAGGAUCGGGGGUUAGAAUCCCCCCAAGUGCC